Molecule: ribosomal RNA, 497 nt
Filed under: uncultured bacterium
Lineage: Bacteria
Description: partial 16S ribosomal RNA
Rfam family: Bacterial small subunit ribosomal RNA
Source: RNAcentral
GGGGGGGGGGGGGGGGGGGGGGGGGGGGGGGGGGGGGGGGGGGGGGGGGGGGGGGUUGCUGGGCUGGUGUGAGCGGGGGGGGGGUGAGGAACACGGGGAUGCCCUCCCUAUAAGGCGGGGAUCACUUAGUGAACCCGGAGCUAAUACCGGCUAAUAUUCUGAACCGCAUGGUUCGAAAGUGAAAGACGGUGUUGCUGGCACUUAUAGAUGGAUCCGCGCUGCAUUAGCUAGUGGUUAAGGGAACGGCUUACCACGGCAACGAUGCAUAGCCGACCUGAGAGGGUGAUCGGCCACACUGGAACUGAGACACGGUCCAGACUCCUACGGGAGGCAGCAGUAGGUAAUCUUCCGCAAUGGGCGAAAGCCUGACGGAGCAACGCCGCGUGAGUGAUGAAGGUCUUCGGAUCGUAAAACUCUGUUAUUAGGGAAGAACAUAUGUGUAAGUAACUGUGCACAUCUUGACGGUACCUAAUCAGAAAGCCACGGCUAACUACGUG